UACGGAGGGUGCGAGCGUUGUCCGGAAUCACUGGGCGUAAAGGGCGCGUAGGCGGCCUGAUAAGUAGGGGGUGAAAUCCUGCGGCUUAACCGCAGGGCUGCCUUCUAAACUGUCAGGCUGGAGCACAGUAGAGGCAGGUGGAAUUCCCGGUGUAGCGGUGGAAUGCGUAGAGAUGCGGCGGAACACCGAUGGCGAAGGCAGCCCCCUGGGCUUAAAUUGACGCUGAGGCACGAAAGCGUGGGGAGCAAACAGG
RNAcentral lists this ribosomal RNA (253 nucleotides) under uncultured bacterium. RNAcentral's name for it is "partial 16S ribosomal RNA". It matches the Rfam family "Bacterial small subunit ribosomal RNA", at positions 524 to 776 of the family's 1533-position model. The record is from RNAcentral.